RNAcentral lists this long non-coding RNA (407 nucleotides) under Felis catus (domestic cat). Its description in RNAcentral is "lncRNA (ENSFCAG00000045686.2)". The record is from RNAcentral. Lineage: Eukaryota; Metazoa; Chordata; Mammalia; Carnivora; Felidae.
CAACAUCAUGCUCAUGCUGCUUUGACAUGUUCUUUUGUCUCUAAUCCAGGCAUCUCGUGUUUUCUGCUGGUGUCAAGAAAAUAGUGACAGGCCCAAGACCCUUCGCAGAUCUUGAAACUACUCGCCUACCUAAGAGAAUCUUGACAUUGUUGACAUAAUCUUCACCUCCCUUUGCUUUUCCUUCCCUGAAAGGAAGCUGAGAGAGAGGAUGAGUCAAGUAACAGUAAACUUCGGAGAAGAUUAUCCAAAGGUGAUACCCAUUAAGAGGAAUCCCAAAAGAAGAGAACACUCACAUGAUGACAGAAGUGCAUGCUGGUUAGUGUUGUUUUACAUAAUGAGACAAAAUUGAAGCAAAUAUGUAAAAGUAGAUGAAUAAAGUAAACCUCAAUGAAAAAGCCUCUGAGAAA